UCUUGUGUAGCACAGUGGGUAAGGAACUGGGCUUGUAACCGAAAGGUCGCAGGUUCGAUUCCCAGGGAGGA
RNAcentral lists this transfer RNA (71 nucleotides) under Anguilla anguilla (European eel). Its description in RNAcentral is "tRNA-OTHER". Lineage: Eukaryota; Metazoa; Chordata; Actinopteri; Anguilliformes; Anguillidae. The record is from RNAcentral.